This 459-nucleotide ribosomal RNA is filed under the name uncultured bacterium. Its description in RNAcentral is "partial 16S ribosomal RNA". It matches the Rfam family "Bacterial small subunit ribosomal RNA", at positions 338 to 795 of the family's 1533-position model. The record is from RNAcentral.
CCUACGGUGUGCAGCAGUGAGGAAUAUUGGUCAAUGGUCGGGAGACUGAACCAGCCAAGCCGCGUGAGGGCUGAAGGUACAGAGUAUCGUAAACCUCUUUUGUCAGGGAACACAGGCGGGGACGUGUCCCCGGAUGAGUGUACCUGAAGAAAAAGCAUCGGCUACCUCCGUGCCAGCAGCCUCGGUAAUACGGAGGAUGCGAGCGUUAUCCGGAUUUAUUGGGUUUAAGGGGUGAGUAGGCGGUCUGUUCAGUCAGCGGUCAAAGCCCGGGGCCCAACCCCGGCCCGCCGUUGAAACUGGCAGUCUCGAGUUGGAGAGAAGUAUGCGGAAUGCGCGGUGUAGCGGUGAAAUGCAUAGAUAUCGCGCAGAACUCCGAUUGCGAAGGCAGCAUGCCGGCUCCACACUGACGCUGAGGCACGAAAGCGUGGGUAUCGAACAGGAUUAGAUACCCCAGUAGUC